This 253-nucleotide ribosomal RNA is filed under the name uncultured bacterium. Its description in RNAcentral is "partial 16S ribosomal RNA". It matches the Rfam family "Bacterial small subunit ribosomal RNA", at positions 524 to 776 of the family's 1533-position model. The record is from RNAcentral.
UACGUAGGGUGCAAGCGUUGUCCGGAAUUAUUGGGCGUAAAGGGCUCGUAGGCGGCUUGUCGCGUCGGAUGUGAAAGCCCGGGGCUUAACUCCGGGUCUGCAUUCGAUACGGGCAGGCUAGAGUUCGGUAGGGGAGAUCGGAAUUCCUGGUGUAGCGGUGAAAUGCGCAGAUAUCAGGAGGAACACCGGUGGCGAAGGCGGAUCUCUGGGCCGAUACUGACGCUGAGGAGCGAAAGCGUGGGGAGCGAACAGG